Desertifilum sp. is the source of this 37-nucleotide non-coding RNA. NCBI's taxonomy places the organism in Bacteria, Bacillati, Cyanobacteriota, Cyanophyceae, Desertifilales, Desertifilaceae. The record is from Rfam.
AUUGCAAUUACUCCUAAUCCCUAUUAGGGAUUGAAAC